CCUACGGGAGGCAGCAGUGAGGAAUAUUGGUCAAUGGGCGGGAGCCUGAACCAGCCAAGUCGCGUGAGGGAAGACGGUCCUAUGGAUUGUAAACCUCUUUAGGCGGGGAGCAAUGCCGGGCACGUGUGCCCGGAGGGAGAGUACCCGCAGAAUAAGCAUCGGCUAACUCCGUGCCAGCAGCCGCGGUACUACGGAGGAUGCGAGCGUUAUCCGGAUUUAUUGGGGUUAAAGGGUGCGUAGGCGGAUUUUUAAGUCAGCGGUAAAAUGUCCGGGCUCAACCCGGGCCGGCCGUUGAAACUGGGGAGCUUGAGUGGGCGAGAAGUAUGCGGAAUGCGUGGUGUAGCGGUGAAAUGCGUAGAUAUCACGCAGAACUCCGAUGGCGAAGGCAGCAUACCGGCGCCCGACUGACGCUGAGGCACGAAAGCGUGGGGAUCGAACAGGAUUAGAUACCCCUGUAGUC
Molecule: ribosomal RNA, 460 nt
Filed under: uncultured bacterium
Lineage: Bacteria
Description: partial 16S ribosomal RNA
Rfam family: Bacterial small subunit ribosomal RNA
Source: RNAcentral